UCCUACGGGAGGCAGCAGGGGGGAAUUUUGGACAAUGGGCGAAAGCCUGAUCCAGCAAUGCCGCGUGUGUGAAGAAGGCCUUCGGGUUGUAAAGCACUUUUGUCCGGGAAGAAAGUAUUUGUGCUAAUACCAUGGAUAGAUGACGUACCGGAAGAUAAGCCCGCA
RNAcentral lists this ribosomal RNA (165 nucleotides) under uncultured bacterium. Its description in RNAcentral is "partial 16S ribosomal RNA". It matches the Rfam family "Bacterial small subunit ribosomal RNA", at positions 337 to 495 of the family's 1533-position model. The record is from RNAcentral.